Molecule: ribosomal RNA, 337 nt
Filed under: uncultured bacterium
Lineage: Bacteria
Description: bacterial SSU rRNA
Rfam family: Bacterial small subunit ribosomal RNA
Source: RNAcentral
AGAGUUCGAUUCUGGCUCAGGAUGAACGCUAGCUACAGGCUUAACACAUGCAAGUCGAGGGGAAACGACAUUGGAAGCUUGCUUCCGAUGGGCGUCGACCGGCGCACGGGUGAGUAACGCGUAUCCAACCUGCCCACCACUUGGGGAUAACCUUGCGAAAGUAAGACUAAUACCCAAUGAUAUCUCUAGAAGACAUCUGAAAGAGAUUAAAGAUUUAUCGGUGAUGGAUGGGGAUGCGUCUGAUUAGCUUGUUGGCGGGGUAACGGCCCACCAAGGCAACGAUCAGUAGGGGUUCUGAGAGGAAGGUCCCCCACAUUGGAACUGAGACACGGUCCAA